RNAcentral lists this transfer RNA (73 nucleotides) under Bacteroidota bacterium. RNAcentral describes it as "tRNA-Gly". It matches the Rfam family "tRNA". Rfam says of the family: Transfer RNA (tRNA) molecules are approximately 80 nucleotides in length. RNAcentral also lists the same sequence under 7 other names. The record is from RNAcentral. Lineage: Bacteria; Pseudomonadati; Bacteroidota.
GCGGAAGUAGCUCAGUUGGUAGAGCACAACCUUGCCAAGGUUGGGGUCGCGAGUUCGAGUCUCGUUUUCCGCU